AUUGAACGCUGGCGGCAGGCCUAACACAUGCAAGUCGAGCGGAUGAAGGGAGCUUGCUCCUGGAUUCAGCGGCGGACGGGUGAGUAAUGCCUAGGAAUCUGCCUGGUAGUGGGGGAUAACGUCCGGAAACGGGCGCUAAUACCGCAUACGUCCUGAGGUAGAAAGUGGGGGAUCUUCGGACCUCACGCUAUCAGAUGAGCCUAGGUCGGAUUAGCUAGUUGGUGGGGUAAAGGCCUACCAAGGCGACGAUCCGUAACUGGUCUGAGAGGAUGAUCAGUCACACUGGAACUGAGACACGGUCCAGACUCCUACGGGAGGCAGCAGUGGGGAAUAUUGGACAAUGGGCGAAAGCCUGAUCCAGCAAUGCCGCGUGUGUGAAGAAGGUCUUCGGAUUGUAAAGCACUUUAAGUUGGGAGGAAGGGCAGUAAGUUAAUACCUUGCUGUUUUGACGUUACCAACAGAAUAAGCACCGGCUAACUUCGUG
This 484-nucleotide ribosomal RNA is filed under the name uncultured bacterium. Its description in RNAcentral is "partial 16S ribosomal RNA". It matches the Rfam family "Bacterial small subunit ribosomal RNA", at positions 30 to 507 of the family's 1533-position model. The record is from RNAcentral.